AUUGAACGCUGGCGGAAUGCUUUACACAUGCAAGUCGAACGGCAGCACGGACUUCGGUCUGGUGGCGAGUGGCGAACGGGUGAGUAAUGUAUCGGAACGUGCCCAGUCGUGGGGGAUAACGCAGCGAAAGCUGCGCUAAUACCGCAUCCGAUCUGAGGAUGAAAGCGGGGGACCGUAAGGCCUCGCGCGAUCGGAGCGGCCGAUGUCAGAUUAGGUAGUUGGUGGGGUAAAGGCCCAACAAGCCGACGAUCUGUAGCUGGUCUGAGGGGACGACCAGCCACACUGGGACUGAGACACGGCCCAGACUCCUACGGGAGGCAGCAGUGGGGAAUUGUGGACAAUGGGCGAAAGCCUGAUCCAGCCAUUCCGCGUGCAGGAUGAAGGCCCUCGGGUUGUAAACUGCUUUUGUACAGAACGAAGAGGUUUCUACUAAUACUAGGAGCUCAUGACGGUACUGUAAGAAUAAGCACCGGCUAACUACGUGCCAGCCGCCGCGCGUAA
RNAcentral lists this ribosomal RNA (501 nucleotides) under uncultured bacterium. Its description in RNAcentral is "partial 16S ribosomal RNA". It matches the Rfam family "Bacterial small subunit ribosomal RNA", at positions 30 to 523 of the family's 1533-position model. The record is from RNAcentral.